AAGACCUUAUGUUAAAUAAACAAUUAACCUUCAAAGUUAAAAAUAUAAGUAAUAAUCUUAUAAGUCUUA
RNAcentral lists this transfer RNA (69 nucleotides) under Trithemis aurora (dawn dropwing). Its description in RNAcentral is "tRNA-Trp". It matches the Rfam family "tRNA". From Rfam's summary of the family: Transfer RNA (tRNA) molecules are approximately 80 nucleotides in length. Their secondary structure includes four short double-helical elements and three loops (D, anti-codon, and T loops). Lineage: Eukaryota; Metazoa; Arthropoda; Insecta; Odonata; Libellulidae. The record is from RNAcentral.